Molecule: long non-coding RNA, 354 nt
Organism: Gadus chalcogrammus (walleye pollock)
Lineage: Eukaryota; Metazoa; Chordata; Actinopteri; Gadiformes; Gadidae
Exons: 3
Source: RefSeq, a predicted model, not a curated record
UUACGACAGUGGUAGGUUACAAAGGUAGCCGCUUCUCCUGGUUCGGGGGAGAAACCGGUCGAAGGGAGAUGUAAAUACAGACAGAGUCAGGAAAACAUGCAAGAGAAGAGAUACGACUGUGCCUUGAAAAAACCUUCUCGGUUGGACGAUGGAAGAACUGGGAAAGAAGCCAUCCACCUGCAUCCCUGAUCCCUGGACCGGUCCUCCAGGGAGUGAGACCCUCCUCUGGAAACUCAAAGACUGCUUCUCCUCCUUUGAGAAGGCCAACUCCAGCUUCACCCAACAACAAAACAUGGAGGGCAGGACGACUGUGCUGGAGCUCAGAGACGUCCCCCCCCCUCCCCAUCACGUGUC